RNAcentral lists this ribosomal RNA (470 nucleotides) under uncultured soil bacterium. Its description in RNAcentral is "bacterial SSU rRNA". It matches the Rfam family "Bacterial small subunit ribosomal RNA", at positions 26 to 518 of the family's 1533-position model. The record is from RNAcentral.
AGAACGAAUGCUGGCGGCAUGCCUAAUACAUGCAAGUCGAACGAACUCUUCGGAGUUAGUGGCGCACGGGUGCGUAACGCGUGGGAAUCUGCCCUUGGGUUCGGAAUAACAGUUGGAAACGACUGCUAAUACCGGAUGAUGACGUUAAGUCCAAAGAUUUAUCGCCCAGGGAUGAGCCCGCGUAGGAUUAGCUAGUUGGUGAGGUAAAGGCUCACCAAGGCGACGAUCCUUAGCUGGUCUGAGAGGAUGAUCAGCCACACUGGGACUGAGACACGGCCCAGACUCCUACGGGAGGCAGCAGUGGGGAAUUUGGACAAUGGGGGAAACCCUGAUCCAGCCAUCCCGCGUGUGCGAUGAAGGCAUUCGGUUGUAAAGCACUUUUGGCAGGGAAGAAACGGCGUGCCCUAAUACGGACGUCACUGACGGUACCUGCAGAAUAAGCACCGGCUAACGUACGUGCCAGCAGCCGC